Molecule: small RNA, 714 nt
Filed under: Pan troglodytes (chimpanzee)
Lineage: Eukaryota; Metazoa; Chordata; Mammalia; Primates; Hominidae
Description: processed transcript
Source: RNAcentral
CCCUGCAGCAGCAGCAGCGGCGUGGUCAGAGCGAGCUUCGGAGAAGCAGUGGUGGGUUCCAUGUGAUGGUGGAGUAGGAGGCAGGUCUCCGCGGCUCAUCUGUGUUGCUCUAAAUGACACUGUUUCAUUAUUUUGAUGGCUGGAGAAUAUUUCCUAGUGUAUGUAGAUGAGAGUUUCUUGAUCUCUUUAUCUGUGGAUGAACAGCUACUUUGAAACAUAUGAUACAUUUGUGUUAAGGCUAGUCACGCUGCUGUGGAAUAGAAGGCCAGAAUUGAUCAGUCUCAUCUGAGAGUAACUUUGUACCCAUCACUGAUUCCUUCUGAGACUGCCUCCACUUCCCCAGCAGUCUCUGGUUUCUUCAUGUGGCUGCAGAUGGCAGGAUUUCCCAAAGGUUUAUGGCUGAAACAUAUUCCGUGGUGUAUCUGUACAGCAGUUUCCUCAUCCCUGCAGCUGUGUUUGAACAGGUUCAACAGUAUGGCUCCAAAUGAUGAAAUUUCCUUCUGAUUUUCUGGCUGAAGACUAUUCUUUUUGUGUAUGUCCACCACAGUUACUUUAUCCCUUCAUCUGUGGAUGGGCAGUCUCACUGUAUUGCCCAGGCUGGAGUGCAGUGGCAUGAUCUCAGCUCACUGCAAGCUCUGCUUCCUGGGUUCACGCCAUUCUCCUGCCUCAGCCUCCUGAGUAGCUGGGAUUACAGGCACCCGCCACCACGCCCAG